ACUGGAUGUGGUGGCAUGUGCCUGUAGUCCCAGUUACUUGGGAGGCCAAGGUGGGAAGAUUGUAUGAGCCCAGCAGUUCUGGGCUGUAGUGUCCUAUGCUGAUCUGGUGUCUGCACUAAGUUUGGCAUCAGUAUGGUGACCUCCUGGAAGGGGGUGACCUCCUGGAAGUGGGAGACCAUCAGAUUGCCUAAGGAGGGGUGAACUGUGCCAGGCUGGGAAUGGAGCAGGUCAAAACUCCCAUGCUGAUCAGUCGUGGGAUCAUGCCUGUGAAUAGUGACUGCACUCCAGUCUGGGCAACAUAGUGAGACCUCAUCUCU
Unclassified non-coding RNA from Aotus nancymaae (Ma's night monkey), 317 nucleotides. It matches the Rfam family "Metazoan signal recognition particle RNA". Rfam says of the family: The signal recognition particle (SRP) is a universally conserved ribonucleoprotein. It is involved in the co-translational targeting of proteins to membranes. Lineage: Eukaryota; Metazoa; Chordata; Mammalia; Primates; Aotidae. The record is from Ensembl.